GAUGAACGCUAGCGGCAGGCUUAACACAUGCAAGUCGAGGGGCAGCAUGACACGGAGAUUCGUCGAAGUGUUGAUGGCGACCGGCGCAAGGGUGCGUAACGCGUGAGCAACUUGCCUGUUCAGGGGGAUAACCGGUGGAAACGCCGACUAAUACCCCAUAGUAUUGAUUUAAGGCAUCUUUUAUCAAUUAAAGAACUUCGGAAACGGAUAGGCUCGCGUGACAUUAGCUAGUUGGAGGGGUAACGGCCCACCAAGGCGACGAUCAGUAGCCGGUCUGAGAGGAUGAACGGCCACAUUGGGACUGAGAUACGGCCCAGACUCCUACGGGAGGCAGCAGUGGGGGAUAUUGCGCAAUGGGGGAAACCCUGACGCAGCAACGCCGCGUGAAGGAAGAAGGUCUUCGGAUUGUAAACUUUUGUCUUUUGGGACGAAAACUGACGGUACCAAAGGAGGAAGCCACGGCUAACUACGUG
Molecule: ribosomal RNA, 473 nt
Filed under: uncultured bacterium
Lineage: Bacteria
Description: bacterial SSU rRNA
Rfam family: Bacterial small subunit ribosomal RNA
Source: RNAcentral